Molecule: ribosomal RNA, 369 nt
Filed under: uncultured eukaryote
Lineage: Eukaryota
Description: partial 18S ribosomal RNA
Rfam family: Eukaryotic small subunit ribosomal RNA
Source: RNAcentral
CAAUAGCGUAUAUUAAAGUUGUUGCAGUUAAAAAGCUCGUAGUUGGACUUGGACCUGGUCAGGCGGUCCGCCUCACGGCGAGUACUGUCUUGCUGGGUCUUUCCUCUUGGUGAUCUGUUGUUUCGGCAGCAGGGAACCAGGACCUUUACUUUGAAAAAAUUAGAGUGUUCAAAGCAGGCUCGACGCCGGAAUAUAUUAGCAUGGAAUAAUAAAAUAGGGCGUGCGGUUCUAUUUUGUUGGUUUUUGGAAUCGCCGUAAUGAUUAAUAGGGACAGUCGGGGGCAUUAGUACUCACAUGCUAGAGGUGAAAUUCUUGGAUUUUGUGAGGACUAACUUCUGCGAAANCANNNGCCAAGGAUGUUUUCAUNAA